AGUUAAUAUCCAGCUCAAUAGAUUGUCACCAACCAUUUGCCUAAAGCUAACUGCGUCAAGAAGAGCAUGCCUCAAGGGGCUGGAGUGAGCAAUUCAACUUGUGGAGGAAUGAGAAAUGAUAGUGUUGAGACAAGCAACAUAAAACCCCAGG
This 151-nucleotide long non-coding RNA is filed under the name Pongo abelii (Sumatran orangutan). RNAcentral's name for it is "lincRNA". Lineage: Eukaryota; Metazoa; Chordata; Mammalia; Primates; Hominidae. The record is from RNAcentral.